UAGGGAAUCUUCGGCAAUGGACGGAAGUCUGACCGAGCAACGCCGCGUGAGUGAAGAAGGUUUUCGGAUCGUAAAGCUCUGUUGUUAGAGAAGAACGUUGGUAGGAGUGGAAAAUCUACCAAGUGACGGUAACUAACCAGAAAGGGACGGCUAACUACGUGCCAGCAGCCGCGGUAAUACGUAGGUCCCGAGCGUUGUCCGGAUUUAUUGGGCGUAAAGCGAGCGCAGGCGGUUCUUUAAGUCUGAAGUUAAAGGCAGUGGCUUAACCAUUGUACGCUUUGGAAACUGGAGGACUUGAGUGCAGAAGGGGGGAGUGGAAUUCCAUGUGUAGCGGUGAAAUGCGUAGAUAUAUGGAGGAACACCGGUGGCGAAAGCGGCUCUCUGGGCUGUAACUGACGCUGAGGCUCGAAAGCGUGGGGAGCAAACAGG
RNAcentral lists this ribosomal RNA (429 nucleotides) under Bacillota bacterium. RNAcentral's name for it is "Firmicutes bacterium partial 16S ribosomal RNA". It matches the Rfam family "Bacterial small subunit ribosomal RNA", at positions 355 to 776 of the family's 1533-position model. The record is from RNAcentral. Lineage: Bacteria; Bacillati; Bacillota.